CACUGCCUGUGAUCAGCUCUGCUGGUGGGGACGCCCCUUCCUGGGUUCCAUCCAUGGAUGGCGCCACUGCGCAUGUCUCGACCCAAGUGGCAACCCUAACACAGACUGAGGAUAAAAGGAAUGAUGGGAGCACACCUUUUUCUAUUAAGGCAAAGAGAUGGGAGGGAGAACGUGAGGAUGGUGAUGCUCUGACCUCACCAAGCUUCAUUUCCAUGGGAGGAAGUUGCCGUAACUGGCUAUAUUCUCUGCAGGAGUAGAAGGAAUAAAGACGAGGGAUAGACACACUCUUUCACAAAGCAAUGGCAGUAGUGCUAUGGUGCCAUCUCAUGCAAAGUGAUCCUGUGGUCCUUAAUCAGGUUGUGCCAUUGCUCAAGUGGGUAAAUGUUGGGUGCUCACCAGAUCAUGGUGGGGAAGAAGGGAGACACUGAGAUGUGCAGGUCACACAUUGUCCACUAUGGCAACUCCCAAGCACCCAAUAAGCACAUCUGCAGCAGCGUUACCGGUCAAUAGCAAAUGGUCCAAUCCACUCAUUGCAUCCCGUCUGCACACUAAAUUUGGUUCUGAUUCAGGCCAGGCAAGGGUUGACCCACUCUUCUGAUAUGAACCCAAUUCAAUUGCACAUGUUCAUAUAACAGGGAAAAAAAAAAUG
This is a long non-coding RNA of Musa acuminata AAA Group (dessert banana), 649 nucleotides long. RefSeq lists it as uncharacterized. The record is from RefSeq and is a predicted model, not a curated record. NCBI's taxonomy places the organism in Eukaryota, Viridiplantae, Streptophyta, Magnoliopsida, Zingiberales, Musaceae. The transcript is spliced from 3 exons.